This 631-nucleotide ribosomal RNA is filed under the name Klebsiella pneumoniae. RNAcentral's name for it is "partial 23S ribosomal RNA". It matches the Rfam family "Bacterial large subunit ribosomal RNA", at positions 2259 to 2884 of the family's 2925-position model. Lineage: Bacteria; Pseudomonadati; Pseudomonadota; Gammaproteobacteria; Enterobacterales; Enterobacteriaceae. The record is from RNAcentral.
UGGUGGGUAGUUUGACUGGGGCGGUCUCCUCCCAAAGCGUAACGGAGGAGCACGAAGGUUAGCUAAUCCUGGUCGGACAUCAGGAGGUUAGUGCAAUGGCAUAAGCUAGCUUGACUGCGAGCGUGACGGCGCGAGCAGGUGCGAAAGCAGGUCAUAGUGAUCCGGUGGUUCUGAAUGGAAGGGCCAUCGCUCAACGGAUAAAAGGUACUCCGGGGAUAACAGGCUGAUACCGCCCAAGAGUUCAUAUCGACGGCGGUGUUUGGCACCUCGAUGUCGGCUCAUCACAUCCUGGGGCUGAAGUAGGUCCCAAGGGUAUGGCUGUUCGCCAUUUAAAGUGGUACGCGAGCUGGGUUUAGAACGUCGUGAGACAGUUCGGUCCCUAUCUGCCGUGGGCGCUGGAGAAUUGAGGGGGGCUGCUCCUAGUACGAGAGGACCGGAGUGGACGCAUCACUGGUGUUCGGGUUGUCAUGCCAAUGGCACUGCCCGGUAGCUAAAUGCGGAAGAGAUAAGUGCUGAAAGCAUCUAAGCACGAAACUUGCCCCGAGAUGAGUUCUCCCUGAGACUUUAAGUCUCCUGAAGGAACGUUAAAGACGAUGACGUUGAUAGGCCGGGUGUGUAAGCGCAGCGAUGC